AGAAUGAACGCUGGCGGCAGGCCUAACACAUGCAAGUCGAGCGCCUCGCAAAAGGAGCGGCGGACGGGUGAGUAACGCGUGGGAACAUACCCCUUUCUACGGAAUAGCCUCGGGAAACUGAGAGUAAUACCGUAUACGCCCUAAUGGGGAAAGAUUUAUCGGUGAGGGAUUGGCCCGCGUUGGAUUAGGUAGUUGGUGGGGUAAUGGCCUACCAAGCCGACGAUCCAUAGCUGGUUUGAGAGGAUGAUCAGCCACACUGGGACUGAGACACGGCCCAGACUCCUACGGGAGGCAGCAGUGGGGAAUCUUAGACAAUGGGCGCAAGCCUGAUCUAGCCAUGCCGCGUGAUCGAUGAAGGCCUUAGGGUUGUAAAGAUCUUUCGUGGGGGAAGAUAAUGACGGUACCCCAAGAAGAAGCCCCGGCUAACUCCGCGCCAGCAACCGC
RNAcentral lists this ribosomal RNA (444 nucleotides) under uncultured bacterium. Its description in RNAcentral is "SSU rRNA". It matches the Rfam family "Bacterial small subunit ribosomal RNA", at positions 26 to 518 of the family's 1533-position model. The record is from RNAcentral.